Long non-coding RNA from Mustela lutreola (European mink), 666 nucleotides. RefSeq lists it as uncharacterized. Lineage: Eukaryota; Metazoa; Chordata; Mammalia; Carnivora; Mustelidae. The record is from RefSeq and is a predicted model, not a curated record. The transcript has 5 exons.
AAAGGCCCACCGGAAUGCUGGAGUUGCUGCUUGCAGAACUUAUAAAAAGAAAUGGAUCUAAGUGGUACAAGGGAUGGACCAUAACAGAUGUUGUGAUAUGCCAUCUGGCUCAUGCUUCAAGACCAAAGGACUUAUUCCCCCAAGUUCCUGGGAGUUCUGCUGGUCAUUGACCUUCAGCAAUCAGCACUUUUUUUGGAAGAUGAGAUUUGACACAGAAAGGUAUGGAGGCAAGACCAUGAGAAGAUAUAGCAAGAAGGUACAAACCAAGGAGAGAGGCCUCAGGAGAAACCAAUGCUGCAACCACCCUGACCUCAGACUUCUAGUCUCCAGAAUAACGUGGGACCUCCAGGCUUCCUCCACAGACUAGACUGGAGAACACGAGACAGCUGCCACUCAUCUCUCCCUCCCCCUGUUACAAGAAGAAAAUCACUCCAAGACGCUUCACAGUGUUCCUUGUCAAUGCUUUUCUCAACCUGAAGAAGCAGGAGGCUCUAUUCCAGUCUAUUCACAUCGGUGGGAACGAAGAAGCAACAUGGGGCUUAGAACAGAAAUCUGAAAAUUGCGGACGGACGGCAGAGAGGAGCCACCUGUUUAAUUGUAUUCAAACUCGUCUGAACUGGUUUCUAAAGACCUUCAUCCUUCCCCUCCCCUCCAAGAAAAAGAGCA